This 226-nucleotide long non-coding RNA is filed under the name Lathyrus oleraceus (garden pea). RNAcentral describes it as "Pisum sativum (pea) long non-coding RNA (PSAT_LNC019886)". The record is from RNAcentral. Lineage: Eukaryota; Viridiplantae; Streptophyta; Magnoliopsida; Fabales; Fabaceae.
GGGGUUCAUUGUGAGUGAAAGAGGAAUCGAGGUUGGUCCUGCUAAAAAAAAAGAGAAAAAAAGAGAAGAAAAAAAAGAAGAAAGAAAUAAGAGAAAUGCCUGAACCGAGAAAAAAGAAAGAGGUUCGUGGUCUAUUAGGUAGAUUGAACUACAUGUCAUGGUUCGUAUCUCAUCUAACAGCCACGUGUGAACCUAUAUUCAAGCGUGUGAAAAAAAAAGAUUAAAC